Molecule: long non-coding RNA, 1033 nt
Organism: Struthio camelus australis
Lineage: Eukaryota; Metazoa; Chordata; Aves; Struthioniformes; Struthionidae
Source: Ensembl
UAGUGAACUUUUCUGAAGUUCUGUGUGCUGCUCUCUGAUAUAGCUAGCAGAAGCCUGUAUAAAACAGGCAUUUUUGGAUGAUGGGCACAGUAGCUUAGUCCAUCCUUCUGUAGGCAUCUGUACAACCAGAAAGCAUCUGCUGCUCUGUCAGUAGAUGGAAGUAAAGUCACAGCCUCUGAAACUCCUUAGCUACAGUUGCAGAAGCUAGCUAGAUCUUUCCGUAGCUAUUUUAGAGAAAAGGUACACCCAGCUUUAAAAAUCGAUUAAUCUUGCCAGAGAACUGUUGGCAGCGUGAGAAUUGUGUUGGAAUUCUGUAGAAACAUGCGUCUAGAACAUGUUAUAGUUGUUUUUUUCCAGACCAUAUAUCAAUAGUAGAUAAUUUUGAUCAGAUAAUUAAAAAGACAUUUCUUCCUCUUCAUGCUUUCCAAAGGUGCAGUUGCUUUUAACCAAGAACAAUAGGACUUUUUUCCAGCCUAUUCUCAGGAUUGAAUAAAGAAGAAGAUCUCUAGCCCUGUGCCUUAAAAGCUCACCAAGCAAGAGAAGAUGGUGUGUUGAUUCUGGCUGACAGGCAAAUCUGUCCAGUACCAGCAAAGAACAUCUCAUGAAGCAGAACUGUGUGGGAUCAACAGAAAUAAAAUGCCAAGCCAACUUUAGCCUCCUCUGGUAGAGAGAAGAAAAAAAAAAAAAGGAAAGGAAGGGGGAAGAGAAGGAGGAAGGGAAGAAAAAGAGAAGAGGAAGAGAAAGAGACUCUCACUGCAUUUUCUUCUGUUUUAAUGAAAGGGAGAGUUACCAGACCUGCCCAUGAUGAGGAGUUCAAAUUUUCUCUUUCCUGAACUAGCUCCCUCCUGUGGCUUGGGGUAUCUAUUGACCUCAAAGAAACAGUAUUCUGCAGAGUAACAGUCAAUCCUAGGGAGUGCAAAGCCUCCUGCAUGUUGGAAAGCAGGUAUUUCUGAUUUAUGAAAAAACUGUGAAAACCUAGGAAGAAUUCAUUUCGCAAGUUGCCUUAGACUGCAGAGUUAUUACCUGACUAGUU